This 497-nucleotide ribosomal RNA is filed under the name uncultured bacterium. RNAcentral describes it as "partial 16S ribosomal RNA". It matches the Rfam family "Bacterial small subunit ribosomal RNA", at positions 28 to 507 of the family's 1533-position model. The record is from RNAcentral.
GAUGAACGCUGGCGGCGUGCCUAAUACAUGCAAGUCGAGCGAACGGACGAGAAGCUUGCUUUUCUGAUGUUAGCGGCGGACGGGUGAGUAACACGUGGAUAACUUACCUAUAAGACUGGGAUAACUUCGGGAAACCGGAGCUAAUACCGGAUAAUAUUUUGAACCGCAUGGUUCAAAAGUGAAAGACGGUCUUGCUGUCACUUAUAGAUGGAUCCGCGCUGCAUUAGCUAGUUGGUAAGGUAACGGCUUACCAAGGCAACGAUGCAUAGCCGACCUGAGAGGGCGAUCGGCCACACUGGAACUGAGACACGAUCCAGACUCCUACGGGAGGCAGCAGUAGGGAAUCUUCCGCAAUGGGCGAAAGCCUGACGGAGCAACGCCGCGUGAGUGAUGAAGGUCUUCGGAUCGUAAAACUCUGUUAUUAGGGAAGAACAUAUGUGUAAGUAACUGUGCACAUCUUGACGGUACCUAAUCAGAAAGCCACGGCUAACUACGUG